ACUUUUGGUGGAGGAACCAGACUGGAUGUUAACUUGGGUCGAGUCACCCCCACCCUGACGGUGCUGCCCCCCUCCAGCGAGGAGCUGCAGCAGGGGAAGGCCACGCUCGUGUGUCUGGCCAACAAGGGCUACCCCUCAGACUGGAGUCUGGCCUGGAAGGUGGACGGCAGCAGCAGCAGCAGCUUGGAGCAGAGCAGGAGCCCCGGGGUGCUGCAGAAUGAUGGCCGCUACAGCUGGAGCGGCACCCUGAGGCUCCCUGCAGACCAGUGGAGGAAGGUGGUCUCUGUGACCUGUGAGGCCACCCAGGGCUCCCAGACUCCAGUCUCAGAGACACUGAGGAGAGACCAGUGUUCCCAGUCCUGACCUGACUCACUGCUCCUGCUUUUACUCUGCUACUUCUCUCACUCUGAUUUCUGCAACUAUCUCUCUCUUUUAUUUCACGUUUCAGUAACAAUAUUUACUUGCUUGUUGUAAUGUUUCAAUAUAAUUUCAG
Non-coding RNA from Thunnus maccoyii (southern bluefin tuna), 493 nucleotides. NCBI's taxonomy places the organism in Eukaryota, Metazoa, Chordata, Actinopteri, Scombriformes, Scombridae. The record is from the annotation of a RefSeq genome assembly.